CUUGCUUCUCUUGAGAGCGGCGGACGGGUGAGUAAUGCCUAGGAAUCUGCCUGGUAGUGGGGGAUAACGUUCGGAAACGGACGCUAAUACCGCAUACGUCCUACGGGAGAAAGCAGGGGACCUUCGGGCCUUGCGCUAUCAGAUGAGCCUAGGUCGGAUUAGCUAGUUGGUGAGGUAAUGGCUCACCAAGGCGACGAUCCGUAACUGGUCUGAGAGGAUGAUCAGUCACACUGGAACUGAGACACGGUCCAGACUCCUACGGGAGGCAGCAGUGGGGAAUAUUGGACAAUGGGCGAAAGCCUGAUCCAGCCAUGCCGCGUGUGUGAAGAAGGUCUUCGGAUUGUAAAGCACUUUAAGUUGGGAGGAAGGGUUGUAGAUUAAUACUCUGCAAUUUUGACGUUACCGACAGAAUAAGCACCGGCUAACUCUGUGCCAGCAGCCGCGGUAAUACAGAGGGUGCAAGCGUUAAUCGGAAUUACUGGGCGUAAAGCGCGCGUAGGUGGUUUGUUAAGUUGGAUGUGAAAUCCCCGGGCUCAACCUGGGAACUGCAUUCAAAACUGACUGACUAGAGUAUGGUAGAGGGUGGUGGAAUUUCCUGUGUAGCGGUGAAAUGCGUAGAUAUAGGAAGGAACACCAGUGGCGAAGGCGACCACCUGGACUAAUACUGACACUGAGGUGCGAAAGCGUGGGGAGCAAACAGGAUUAGAUACCCUGGUAGUCCACGCCGUAAACGAUGUCAACUAGCCGUUGGAAGCCUUGAGCUUUUAG
Molecule: ribosomal RNA, 768 nt
Filed under: Pseudomonas sp.
Lineage: Bacteria; Pseudomonadati; Pseudomonadota; Gammaproteobacteria; Pseudomonadales; Pseudomonadaceae
Description: bacterial SSU rRNA
Rfam family: Bacterial small subunit ribosomal RNA
Source: RNAcentral